GGUUCAUUCAAAUUUCUGCCCUAUCAACUUUCGAUGGUAAGGUAUUGGCUUACCAUGGUUUCAACGGGUAACGGGAAUUAGGGUUCGAUUCCGGAGAGGGAGCCUGAGAAACGGUACCACAUCCAAGGAAGGCAGCAGGCGCGCAAAUUACCCAAUCCCGACCGGGGAGGUAGUGACAAUAAAUACUGAUACAGGGCUCUUUUGGGUCUUGUAAUUGGAAUGAGUACAAUUUAAACCUCUUAACGAGGAACAAUUGGAGGGCAAGUCUGGUGCCAGCACCGGGGGUAAUUCCAGCUCCAAUAGCGUAUAUUAAAGUUGUUGCAGUUAAAAAGCUCGUAGUUG
RNAcentral lists this ribosomal RNA (342 nucleotides) under uncultured fungus. Its description in RNAcentral is "SSU rRNA". It matches the Rfam family "Eukaryotic small subunit ribosomal RNA", at positions 292 to 636 of the family's 1831-position model. The record is from RNAcentral. Lineage: Eukaryota; Fungi.